ACGAACGCUGGCGGCGUGCCUAAUACAUGCAAGUAGCACGCUGAAGGCGGAGCUUGCUCUUCUGGAUGAGUUGCGAACGGGUGAGUAACGCGUAGGUAACCUGCCUGGUAGCGGGGGAUAACUAUUGGAAACGAUAGCUAAUACCGCAUAACAGUAGAUGUUGCAUGACAUUUACUUAAAAGGUGCAAUUGCAUCACUACCAGAUGGACCUGCGUUGUAUUAGCUAGUUGGUGGGGUAACGGCUCACCAAGGCGACGAUACAUAGCCGACCUGAGAGGGUGAUCGGCCACACUGGGACUGAGACACGGCCCAGACUCCUACGGGAGGCAGCAGUAGGGAAUCUUCGGCAAUGGACGGAAGUCUGACCGAGCAACGCCGCGUGAGUGAAGAAGGUUUUCGGAUCGUAAAGCUCUGUUGUAAGAGAAGAACGAGUGUGAGAGUGGAAAGUUCACACUGUGACGGUAUCUUACCAGAAAGGGACGGCUAACUACGUG
Molecule: ribosomal RNA, 494 nt
Filed under: uncultured bacterium
Lineage: Bacteria
Description: partial 16S ribosomal RNA
Rfam family: Bacterial small subunit ribosomal RNA
Source: RNAcentral